AUGAACGCUGGCGGCGUGCGUUAACACAUGCAAGUCGAGCGAGAAGACUUUGACAGAUCCUUCGGGUGAUGGAAAGUUGGAAAGCGGCGGACGGGUGAGUAACGCGUGGGCAACCUGCCCCCGUACAGAGGGAUAGCCACUGGAAACGGUGAUUAAUACCUCAUAAGACCACAGCGACACAUGUCGCAGGGGUAAAAACUCUGGUGGUACGGGAUGGGCCCGCGUCUGAUUAGCUAGUUGGUAGGGUAACGGCCUACCAAGGCGACGAUCAGUAGCCGACCUGAGAGGGUGAUCGGCCACACUGGAACUGAGACACGGUCCAGACUCCUACGGGAGGCAGCAGUGGGGAAUAUUGCACAAUGGGCGAAAGCCUGAUGCAGCAACGCCGCGUGAACGAAGAAGGCCUUCGGGUUGUAAAGUUCUUUUCUUGAAGAAGAAUAAAUGACGGUAUUCAAGGAAUAAGCCCCGGCUAACUACGUG
RNAcentral lists this ribosomal RNA (480 nucleotides) under uncultured bacterium. RNAcentral describes it as "bacterial SSU rRNA". It matches the Rfam family "Bacterial small subunit ribosomal RNA", at positions 29 to 507 of the family's 1533-position model. The record is from RNAcentral.